RNAcentral lists this ribosomal RNA (444 nucleotides) under Triticum aestivum (bread wheat). Its description in RNAcentral is "partial small subunit ribosomal RNA". The record is from RNAcentral. Lineage: Eukaryota; Viridiplantae; Streptophyta; Magnoliopsida; Poales; Poaceae.
AUGAAACUGAUACCGAUACUUCUCAUGCUUUGUAGGACGAGCCGGCAACACAACAAGAAUGUCAUUAAUUGGGAGGAUCACCAUCUUAUGUGGGUGGACAUGUGGAAUGCUCAGAGGAAUGCCCGAGUUGAAGAUGAUCACACACCUGACAAGGACGAGGGGGCAUAUUUAAGACAUUUGGAGUGGCUUCGCAAAGAGUACAGAGUUAUCCUUAAGGGUGCUUGGACUUGUGCCGAUUGUUUGGAAGUAAUGCCAAGUGAGGCUGCUGAUGGUGCAUUCAACAACUCUAUUAGGGAGACCAUUGGAGCGCACCUAGAUUAUGGCCCUCUGCAUGACCGAGUGGUAUGCCUUUUUGUCUCUUUUUUGAACAUGUGUCAUUUCUUCAUGAGUGGUGUGUCACUUAAGUUUUAUUCAGGGCACGAAGCUAUGGAGAUGUAUCAAUGA